GACGAACGCUGGCGGCGUGCCUAAUACAUGCAAGUCGAACGCACUCUCGUUUAGAUUGAAGGAGCUUGCUCCUGAUUGAUAAACAUUUGAGUGAGUGGCGGACGGGUGAGUAACACGUGGGUAACCUGCCCUAAAGUGGGGGAUAACAUUUGGAAACAGAUGCUAAUACCGCAUAAAACCUAAACACCGCAUGGUGUAGGGUUGAAAGAUGGUUUCGGCUAUCACUUUAGGAUGGGCCCGCGGUGCAUUAGUUAGUUGGUGAGGUAAAGGCUCACCAAGACCGUGAUGCAUAGCCGACCUGAGAGGGUGAUCGGCCACACUGGGACUGAGACACGGCCCAGACUCCUACGGGAGGCAGCAGUAGGGAAUCUUCCACAAUGGACGAAAGUCUGAUGGAGCAACGCCGCGUGAGUGAAGAAGGUUUUCGGAUCGUAAACUCUGUUGUUGGAGAAGAAUGUAUCU
Molecule: ribosomal RNA, 462 nt
Filed under: uncultured bacterium
Lineage: Bacteria
Description: bacterial SSU rRNA
Rfam family: Bacterial small subunit ribosomal RNA
Source: RNAcentral